UAGGGAAUCUUCCGCAAUGGGCGAAAGCCUGACGGAGCAACGCCGCGUGAGUGAUGAAGGUCUUCGGAUCGUAAAACUCUGUUAUUAGGGAAGAACAAAUGUGUAAGUAACUAUGCACGUCUUGACGGUACCUAAUCAGAAAGCCACGGCUAACUACGUGCCAGCAGCCGCGGUAAUACGUAGGUGGCAAGCGUUAUCCGGAAUUAUUGGGCGUAAAGCGCGCGUAGGCGGUUUUUUAAGUCUGAUGUGAAAGCCCACGGCUCAACCGUGGGGGGUGAUUGGAAACUGGGAAACUUGAGUGCAGAAGAGGGAAGUGGAAUUCCAUGUGUAGCGGUGAAAUGCGCAGAGAUAUGGAGGAACACCAGUGGCGAAGGCGACUUGCUGGGCUGUAACUGACGCUGAUGUGCGAAAGCGUGGGGAUCAAACAGG
RNAcentral lists this ribosomal RNA (429 nucleotides) under Actinomycetes bacterium. Its description in RNAcentral is "Actinobacteria bacterium partial 16S ribosomal RNA". It matches the Rfam family "Bacterial small subunit ribosomal RNA", at positions 355 to 776 of the family's 1533-position model. The record is from RNAcentral. Lineage: Bacteria; Bacillati; Actinomycetota; Actinomycetes.